UACAGAGGGUGCGAGCGUUGUUCGGAAUUAUUGGGCGUAAAGGGCGCGUAGGCGGUGCGGUAAGUCACCUGUGAAAUCUCCUGGCUCAACUGGGAGCUUGCAGGCGAAACUGCCGUGCUGGAGUGUGGGAGAGGUGCGUGGAAUUCCUGGUGUAGCGGUGAAAUGCGUAGAGAUGUGGAGGAACACCGAUGGCGAAGGCAGCCUUCUGGGCCAACACUGACGCUCAUGCACGAAAGCGUGGGGAGCAAACAGG
Molecule: ribosomal RNA, 253 nt
Filed under: uncultured bacterium
Lineage: Bacteria
Description: partial 16S ribosomal RNA
Rfam family: Bacterial small subunit ribosomal RNA
Source: RNAcentral